GAUGAACGCUGGCGGCGUGCCUAAUACAUGCAAGUCGAGCGAACAGACGAGGAGCUUGCUCCUCUGACGUUGGCGGCGGACGGGUGAGUAACACGUGGAUAACCUACCUAUAAGACUGGGAUAACUUCGGGAAACCGGAGCUAAUACCGGAUAAUAUAUUGAACCGCAUGGUUCAAUAGUGAAAGACGGUUUUGCUGUCACUUAUAGAUGGAUCCGCGCCGCAUUAGCUAGUUGGUAAGGUAACGGCUUACCAAGGCAACGAUGCGUAGCCGACCUGAGAGGGUGAUCGGCCACACUGGAACUGAGACACGGCCCAGACUCCUACGGGAGGCAGCAGUAGGGAAUCUUCCGCAAUGGGCGAAAGCCUGACGGAGCAACGCCGCGUGAGUGAUGAAGGUCUUCGGAUCGUAAAACUCUGUUAUUAGGGAAGAACAAAUGUGUAAGUAACUAUGCACGUCUUGACGGUACCUAAUCAGAAAGCCACGGCUAACUACGUG
Molecule: ribosomal RNA, 497 nt
Filed under: uncultured bacterium
Lineage: Bacteria
Description: partial 16S ribosomal RNA
Rfam family: Bacterial small subunit ribosomal RNA
Source: RNAcentral